UACGUAGGGAGCAAGCGUUGUCCGGAAUCAUUGGGCGUAAAGCGCGCGUAGGUGGUCCCGUAAGUCCGCUGUGAAAGUCAAAGGCUCAACCUUUGAAAGCCGGUGGAUACUGUGGGACUAGAGUACGGAAGAGGCGAGUGGAAUUCCUGGUGUAGCGGUGGAAUGCGCAGAUAUCAGGAGGAACACCAAUAGCGAAGGCAGCUCGCUGGGACGUUACUGACACUGAGGCGCGAAAGCGUGGGGAGCGAACAGG
This 253-nucleotide ribosomal RNA is filed under the name uncultured bacterium. Its description in RNAcentral is "partial 16S ribosomal RNA". It matches the Rfam family "Bacterial small subunit ribosomal RNA", at positions 524 to 776 of the family's 1533-position model. The record is from RNAcentral.